Molecule: long non-coding RNA, 521 nt
Organism: Ipomoea nil (Japanese morning glory)
Lineage: Eukaryota; Viridiplantae; Streptophyta; Magnoliopsida; Solanales; Convolvulaceae
Exons: 5
Source: RefSeq, a predicted model, not a curated record
GAAUUGUGAUGAAGUUCAACCCUUUCUCAAUGAGUUCUCUGAAAAUCAAAAUAACAAUGUACCAGUAAAUCUUGAAGUUGUUGAAAAACAUUUUGGACAACAACGCCAUGGUCAUGUAUAUGGUUAUGGGGGUGGAGUGAAGCGGAAAAACUUUAAUGACAGUAAAUCUACUUAUAUCAAAGAGCUAGAGGCUAAACUCUAUGAAAAGGGUGAAGAAAAUCGUGACCUUAAGAGGCGCAUGGAUAUAUUUGAAAGUAGGUUGAUCCGAAUAGAGAAUGGAGAUUCACCAUCAGUUAUAACUACAACCGGUGAUGAUAUUCAACAGGGUGCUUAGAACUCAAGAUACGAACAUUGUUUCUUUUGACUUUAGUAUUAAGGUUAAUUCUAACACUGGUUAUUAUGUAUAGAAACCGUGUGCUUUUGGAUGAUGUGGCAAAGCUAUUGAUGAAAAAGAGCAUACCUAACACCACAUUGAAAGUAAACUCUUUUUGUAUGAAGUACAGUAGAUUGGACAUUUUUUU